AUCGGUUUGAAGCACAGAACCUUUAAGCAGUUUAGUAGCGCAGUCCUCAAAGAGUUAUCAUAGAUACCCUUCGACGUGAUCUACCUUCCUUUAUCGCUUUAAAAAUCUGUAAAACAUUCCAAUUGCGCCGGAAGGCAAAUUUAAUUUAAAAGGUAAUAUCUAUGUCUAACAAAAUGACUGGUCUCGUAAAAUGGUUCAACUCUGACAAAGGCUUCGGCUUCAUCACUCCUGACGAUGGCUCAAAAGACGUGUUCGUACACUUCUCUGCUAUCCAGAACGAUGGCUACAAGUCUCUGGACGAAGGCCAGAAAGUGUCUUUCACCAUCGAAAGUGGUGCUAAAGGCCCAGCUGCUGGUAACGUAACUAGCCUGUAAGGUUAGCGUUAGCAAAGCUAAGAAUUUAAAAACCCGCCUCGGCGGGUUUUUUCG
RNAcentral lists this small RNA (428 nucleotides) under Buttiauxella agrestis ATCC 33320. RNAcentral's name for it is "cspA thermoregulator". It matches the Rfam family "cspA thermoregulator". The record is from Rfam by way of RNAcentral. Lineage: Bacteria; Pseudomonadati; Pseudomonadota; Gammaproteobacteria; Enterobacterales; Enterobacteriaceae.